CCCGCUCUCGGCUGCUCGGCGCCCGCUCUGCAGCUUCGGCCCGUCUUGGCCUAGCCUGGGCUUUCCCCCCUCCCCUCCCCAAGUCGCCCCUCUUGGUUGUGUGCACGGCUCGGGAAGGCUCGCCGGGGCUGGGGAGCGAGCGCGAGCGCGCGCGCGUGUGUGUGAGUGUGUGUGUGUGUGUGUGGGGAGGGAGGAGACUCGGUUCCGGUGGCGGAGGAGAAGGAGGAGGAGACGAAGGUUGGCGAUGGUGGCGGUAGCAGAGCGGAGAGGGCCUUUCCGGGAGGCAACUGGACUUUCUUGUUUUUGUCUUUGAGGACUUUUCGCUUCUUCAUCCGAGAAGUUUCUUCAGCUCUGACUGGAUGGUGGGGGAAUGGAAGGAUUAAUAUUCCUUGCAGACAAGCUGGUCAUUUGCAUCCUUUUAAGAGAGUCGUUCAGGAACUUGGAGGUUUUAUCUGUGUCCUCAGGGUCAUCUGAGUGGUGCAAAUGGUAAUGGUUCCUGUAGUGUGCAGUUUUUUCCCCCCUGGAAAUCUGUUCAUACUCCCACACCAUUCAAAGGGUGUUCAUCCCAAGGUGCAAGCUAGAAAUCUUCGCCAUUUAGGUUGAUGUUAUACAGUGGAAGAGGACAGGUGCCUCUGUAGGAUUAACCGAUGGUCUGAACUAUGAUAAAGCACCGAUUUCUCUUUCUUUCUUUCUUUCUUUCUUUCUUUCUCUCUCUCUCUCUCUCUCUCUCUCUCUCUCUCUCUCCCUCCCUCCCUCUCCUUCCUGGAAUUUUUUGGAGCCUGGCGGUAUUCACACUUUCAGGUGAGGAAGGUUUUUAAACACACCGGAUUGAAGUUAAAUUUGGCAUACGGGACCACAGGUGGUGGGGCUUCACGUUUUUUUUCCCAAAUAAUCAUUGUCCCAAGUCCAGUUUCAGAAUUUCCUAUUUUACAAACUGUUACAGGUGAUUACCCGCCUCUUCAAUUGAAAAAAGUAUUUCCCCCCCCAUUAUAUACCCAAUUGUCCCAAUUAUCUUAAAAUCCCCGGCAACUUUUCUCAACUAGUUACUGUACACCGAACUUUUACAUGGGAACAAGUGGUAUUUAAGUUGGAUAGUUGGUAUGUUCAAAUAAUGAACAGUGGUAGAGAGGAUCAAAAAUGUGGGCAUAGUUGAGUAAUUGCAGCUCCGAGUCUGUCUUUUAUCACUUCCUCCUAGCGCAAUUAUCAAGCAAAAUGCAGGCGGCUACAUCAACGUUGAUAGGUUCAAGAUUUUACUGAGAAGAGCUUGACUGCCUAAAGGAAAGUGAUAGCGGAACAGAUACACAUUACAACUUUUCUCUUUCCUGGAGGAGAAAAGAGAAUAUCUGUCUAUAAAGAUGCCCUCCCCUUUCAACAGUCAGACAUUCAUGAUCGUUCUUAGGCAACUAGAUUUCUAAACUACAUUUUGAAAAUCCAUACAGUGGGGGGGAAAGUUCAGAAUCUAAAUCUGCACAUUGUGGAUCUAUAAGUCUAUGAAUGUGAACAUUUUAGUGAAGGAACUGAGGAAAACUGAUAAUAGAACUUUCAGGAAGUAUUAUUUUAUUUAUUUAUUAUUGCGAUUUAUAUGCCGCCCUUCUCCCUGGGGACUCAAGGCGGCUUACAAAAUGACAAAAUCAGCAACCCUAUUAAAAACAGUUUAAAAUUAUGACAGUGUACCCCCAAACGGUACCUCUUGUUUUCAAAAGUUCCUCCAUAAAAACUAGCUAAAGACAAAGGACACAGAUUUUCUUUAUCCUUGUAUCUCAAUUAAUGGCUACUGCCAGAUUUGUACUGCUAUAAAUUACUUUAAGAACAAAAUUGGAAAUUACUAAGUCAGUGAUUGCUUAUUUUUCUACACUACUACUCCCUUUAUUUUAUGUGCAUUAGAAUUUCACUCCUUUCCUUGGGCAGCAAUCACACAAAAUGGGCUUUCCUUAACACUAAUUUUUAAAUUGGGAGAGAGAAUGAUGGAGUUUUAAAUGUAGGAGAUGACCAGGCUGAGCCUGAGGGGAGGGAUCAAGUACAUCAUUAGUUUAGAGUCUAAAUCCAUCCCAUCUUGAAUUCUGUUGACUCUUAUCUACCACCAAUUUGCUUUUACAUUAGUAGUUCAUAUUCUUCUGGAAAGUGUUAGCAUGCAUUAAACCUGAAUUCAUUUGAACUGCCUUAACUCCUGAUCUCAUGCGUGACAGCUCCAAUUGUUUUAUGUUAGAGGGCAUAUUUGGAAUUUUGAAAAGGUAUUGUGAGUGCUGUUGUAAAAUGAUUGCACUGUGGGAGAGCCCAUUCAUGGUUAUAACAUUUUUUUAAAAUCCCCCCCCCAAGCAAAAUAGUGUGCAUAAAAAAUAAGUCUUCAAAUCCUGAAUAAAAUAUCCAUAAUAUGUCAGAGGUUUGUAAGGCAAAUCCUGAAUUCACAACUUUUAAAUCCAGUAAAACUCCAAUAAUCUAUUCUAUCUUGUCAGUUAUGUGACCUUGAAUUAUGAAAAACCAAGUGGGAAGACACUUCCUCAGUUUUUGGACAGGAGACUACCCAAACCCUCUCUGGAUUUUUUCUUUUACUCUCAACAUACAGCACUAUUUGAUAUAGUUUAUGCUAUCCCUUUAAGAAAUACCCUUCCCAUGUUGUCAUGCAUAUUAAAAAUAUACAUUCCUUACAA
Long non-coding RNA from Pantherophis guttatus, 2648 nucleotides. RefSeq lists it as uncharacterized. The record is from RefSeq and is a predicted model, not a curated record. Lineage: Eukaryota; Metazoa; Chordata; Lepidosauria; Squamata; Colubridae.